This is a non-coding RNA of Bactrocera oleae (olive fruit fly), 1735 nucleotides long. The record is from RefSeq and is a predicted model, not a curated record. Lineage: Eukaryota; Metazoa; Arthropoda; Insecta; Diptera; Tephritidae.
AACUCGUUUAUCAUAUAUUUUUUCAAAUAUUGUUUUUUUGAAACAUAAUAAAAUUUUCUGAAAAUUCAAAGGUUUUUCCAUUUCUGUCUCUAAAAAAUUUGACUUUUGGACAUUAACAAAAAAUUGCUACCGACAAGUUGUUUUUUGACGAUUCGCCUCCGGUUCUGGGUAAAUUUGAGUACAGAGAAAGUUAUAAUCCAAAAGUGAAGUGCAUUGGCUUUAAAUGGCAUAUACAAAUCAAGUACCAAUAUCCGGAUAGAACUUUGAACAGAUAUGGCCUGCAAGCAUCAUGCCACCCGAGCUAUGUAUAUACAUAUGUUCAAAAUUUGUGUGCAAAUAAAAACAGCUCUAUCAAAUCACCAAAAUAACAGUUCAUUGCUAGCAAUGUAUGGCAUGAAAUGUAUUUAGACAUCAAUUGCUAAACAUUAGCAAUGUGCAGUCUCCAUUGGCAAUGUAUAUGAUAUAUGUUCGCUGCGUCAAAUGUCAAAACUGUUCACUUACAUAGUAAUUUUGAAAUUUAUUGGGCAAAGAAAAAUAUUAUUUGUGUACAAGAAAUUGAAAAUUAUGGAUGACAUUGACUUUCUGGAGGACUUACUACUUUUGAAGAUGAUUGCAUGUAGACAACGCAGUGGAAACCAAGAGAUUUUCAAAACUCGUAAAAACCAUGGAUUUUACUCAAGCGGAGUUAAUGUAUUGAUCAAAAAGAAUCCAGGAUUAUUUAUGAAAUCUACUAGGUUCACUCAUGAGCAGUUUAAAGUAUUGUUGAAUUUGGUUGAGCCAUGGCUGCGGAAAUACUCCCGCAGAAAUCCCAUUGAGCCAGAGCAGAGAUUGUAUAUAACCUUGCAUUUCUUAGCUCAUGGCAACGCUCUUCGUCUGUUAUCUAUGAAGUUUCGAAUUGGCCUAGAGACAGCCAGAUCUAUCAUAUUAGAGACGUGCGAUGCUUUGUGGCGUGCUUUGGCCAGUCAUUACUUGAACCCACCUAGUAAUGCGAAAUGGAAACAAAUCUCGGAGGAUUUUUGGAAUGUGACCAAGUUACCACAUUGUUUAGGGGCAAUCGAUGGUAAACAUGUACAAAUAAAUUGCCCACCUAAUUCACGUUCACAAAAUUUUAAUUAUAAACAAUUUAAUAGCAUCACACAGAUUUUACUUGCAGCCUGCGAUAGCAAUUAUCGUUUUACUUUUGUGGACGUUAGCGCAUAUGGCAGUAAAAACGACGGCGGCAUGUUUCGGAAUUCCCAGUUUGGAAAAGGGAUUUUAGAUAAAUCUAUGGAUGUUCCAGCUGCAACAAACUUGCCCAACUCAGACAUAGUUUUUCCUUACUACUCAUAGCUGAUGCGGCAUUCCCUUUAGAGGAAAACAUAUUGAAGCCUUAUGAAACGGAUAUUGAUGUCAAUAAAGCAGUUUUCAACAAAACGUUGUGUAAAGCUAGAAAACAAAUUGAGAUUGCUUUCGGUAUACUUACUUCUCGGUGGAGAGUAUUGAGCGCAUCCAUAUCUUUUUCACCGGAAAAUGCCAAAAAAGUUAUAUUAGCAACAAUAGUGCUCCACAAUUUCCUGAGGUUCGGUAAGGUGAACUCUACUGCUGCAGAGGAAACAAACAAUUACAAUAUGACGAGUGUAAACAGACACGAUUUACUAACUGCUAAUACAUCGAGUCAAUCUGCACUUAAUUUAAGAAAUAAACUUUGUGAAUAUUUUAAUUCUUCAUUAGUAUAAACAUGUAUAUUUAAAAAAAA